GUUGUUUUUAAUUUAGUUUUCGCAGAAGCACAUUUCUUUAUUGCGAGGGAAAUACGUGCCUACAGUUCUAUAGCGACAUGUCUCACAGUGUCUAGUGCAAAAAAUAAAAUUGAAAGAGAAUUGGUGCGACAUUUAACUCGAGAAUAAAAAAAAAAAACGGCUUUGCUGUGACAGUAAGGUCAUUCAAUAUAAUUAAUGUUUGAAAUAUCCAAAUUACUCGUUGUUAACGCGGAUACAAUAUUAACUUGAGGCAGUUCGUCUUCGUACAGUCUUAGUUCUGCACCAGGAAAUCAGACGUUGUAAAUAAUGCCGGGAAUGAAAAGGUCACAAGGCUCGUUGCGAUGCGCUGGAAUAUUUGCUCUGAUUGGUUGUGCUUUGAACGCUUACGCAGCACCCGUUGUAUUCGAAAAUGAAGCAGAACCGAACCACACGAUGCCAUUGAAGUCUUCUAUUUUUCCAAUCUUCAUCGACAAAGUUCGAACAUCCAUAGGGAGAUCGAAGAGAUAUACUCUUCAAGGGACCAAAUGGAUGCACAAAAAUUUAACAUACAGAAUAAACAAUUACCCCGAAAAUCUGAAUAAAACGGAUGUUGAUAAUGAAAUCGCCAGGGCAUUUGCUGUGUGGUCAAAUUAUACAGACCUGAAAUUCGCAGUAGGAAGUGGAAAGGUCGACAUCGACAUCAGCUUCCACCGCGGAGAUCACGGAUCCAACUGCGAACCGUUCAGUGGAACGUCGAAAAUGACGGCGCACGCUUUUUACCCGGGGACUCGAUUCACUGGGGAUGCCCAUUUCGACCUGUCUCGAAAUUGGACUAUCAGAAACAACUCCGGUAUCGAUCUCUUUCAGACAGCAGUGCAUGAGUUCGGUCAUUCCCUCGGUCUUGAUCACAGCAACUUUCAGACCGCUGCCAUGUGGCCGGUCAUCAGGAGUUACUCUCCUAAUUACCAGUUGGACAAUGAUGACAUUACUGGGAUACAAAAAAUCUACGGAACAAAAACUGAAGGUACAUAAAAUAGCACGAAGGAUCAGGACGCUUCACAUAGAGAAGGAAUCCUUUUUUCAGUUACUACAGAGUCUCCACCACCAGUAUCGAAUAAAACAAUGUCUGAAACCAAUAAAAUUCAUGUGAUAAACAAACAUUUGCUGUUAUUACGAUGACCAAUCGCAAGGCGGCAAUAACCUGUAGUGAAAAAAUCCCGUCGACCUUUUCUCCUUGAUCUGAUCCACAGGUGUGGCUGGAAGUAUCGUUGCGAGAUAU
RNAcentral lists this unclassified non-coding RNA (1258 nucleotides) under Neodiprion lecontei (redheaded pine sawfly). RNAcentral's name for it is "72 kDa type IV collagenase, transcript variant X1". Lineage: Eukaryota; Metazoa; Arthropoda; Insecta; Hymenoptera; Diprionidae. The record is from RNAcentral.